Molecule: ribosomal RNA, 579 nt
Filed under: uncultured Acidovorax sp.
Lineage: Bacteria; Pseudomonadati; Pseudomonadota; Betaproteobacteria; Burkholderiales; Comamonadaceae
Description: bacterial SSU rRNA
Rfam family: Bacterial small subunit ribosomal RNA
Source: RNAcentral
AUAGACCUGGCGGAAUGUUACACAUGCAGUCGAACGGCAGCACGGACUUCGGUCUGGUGGCGAGUGGCGAACGGGUGAGUAAUACAUCGGAACGUGCCCAGUCGUGGGGGAUAACGUAGCGAAAGCUACGCUAAUACCGCAUACGAUCUAAGGAUGAAAGCGGGGGAUCGCAAGACCUCGCGCGAUUGGAGCGGCCGAUGGCAGAUUAGGUAGUUGGUAGGGUAAAGGCCUACCAAGCCGACGAUCUGUAGCUGGUCUGAGAGGACGACCAGCCACACUGGGACUGAGACACGGCCCAGACUCCUACGGGAGGCAGCAGUGGGGAAUUUUGGACAAUGGGCGAAAGCCUGAUCCAGCCAUUCCGCGUGCAGGAUGAAGGCCCUCGGGUUGUAAACUGCUUUUGUACGGAACGAAAAGGUCCUGGUUAAUACCUGGGGCUCAUGACGGUACCGUAAGAAUAAGCACCGGCUAACUACGUGCCAGCAGCCGCGGUAAUACGUAGGGUGCAAGCGUUAAUCGGAAUUACUGGGCGUAAAGCGUGCGCAGGCGGUGAUGUAAGACAGAGGUGAAAUCCCCGGG